Long non-coding RNA from Danaus plexippus (monarch butterfly), 607 nucleotides. RefSeq lists it as uncharacterized. The transcript has 3 exons. NCBI's taxonomy places the organism in Eukaryota, Metazoa, Arthropoda, Insecta, Lepidoptera, Nymphalidae. The record is from RefSeq and is a predicted model, not a curated record.
GCUUGGCAUUACUAAGUGACAGUAUUUGUUUACUGGCAUCGGCCACUCGACUGUCUGCCGGAGAUUUCUCACUGUUCAGAAUAAGGAAGCUGUGAUCUCCACCAGCAAACACCUUCACCGGACCACUGAAUAUCUCUGCAUAGUCAUAACUCAACAUUAAGUUUGGAGGUGCCGGCACCAGACUUAUGCAAUACCACAGAACUCUCCAUCUUGGAUUUCUUCCUUGGCUAAGAAGAAUACUUUGGGAUAACAAAACAAACUGACUGGAGACUCGUCAUUUGGCGUGAAGGUCACUGGUGUUGGGACGAGGGCGAAGGCCAUGUGCGGACAUCCCAAUUGACCCCGGGCUCCGUACCCACACGCCAGGAUACGCUCCCCCACGCGGCAUAACAUGUGUCGACGGCCGCACGCGACCUGAGUGACUGUGCUACCCAUCAGUUCCAUCACCUGAAUUUGAAUUUGGAAUUUUGAACUAGUCUUUUUUAAAACUUAAUAAAACAAUGUUAAUACAUUUUGUUAUUCAUCUUGUUUAGCUAAAACUAUCGUCAUGAGGAUCUGUAGGCUUGACACCUAUUGGUAUCAAUAAACUGAAUAAAAAGCAUUUCAA